GCUAUUCUUAGUUGGCUGUGACAUGUUGGAUUUGGGUGGGGGGGAGGGGAGGUAAUUGUUUAGUUUAUGAUUUCAGAUAAUCAUACCAGAGAACUUAAAUAUUUGGAAAAACUGAGGAAAUCUCAGCUUUCAAGUUGGCAAGUAACUCCCAAUCCAGUUUUUUGCUUCUAUUUUUUUUCCUUUUCUUUUUAUUUUUUUGAUUUGGGCAGUAAGGAAGAUUGCCUUGGGUGUUCCCACUAAUCCAAUAUUGUGGGCAAGGAAAGUAAAUCACAACAGUCGUCUGUUCCCGUGAAAGUGUGUAGGGUUUGGGGGUUGGUCUGAUCACUAGAGUGGUGUGGAAGUUACAGUGUGGGGAUUCUCUAGAAGCUACCGGAUAUAGAUUGUAGUGUGUGGUUCUCUUUUGAAAUUUUUUUUCAGGUGACUUAAUGUAUCUUAAUAACUACUAUAGGAACUUCAGAGCAAAGGAAGUGGCUUUAAUGACCCUGAAGGGAUUUCUUCUGGUGAUAGCUUUUAUAUUAUCAAGUAAGAGAUUCCAUCUCAGUUUUGUAUAAGCAAGUCUUUCCUAGUGUAGGAGAAAUGAGUUUCCUUGUGACUAAACAAGAUGUAAGGUAUGCUUAUUUUUUGUAUAUUGUAUACUUUGUAUUUGCAAUUUAUAAUGUAAGAAUUGUGGUAGUUCAGCCUGAAUGUCUUUUAGAGGGUGGGCUUUUGUUGAUGAGGGAGGGGAAACCUUUUUUUUUCUGUAGACCUUUUUCAGAUAACACCAUCUGAGUCAUAACCAGCCUGGCAGUGUGAUGACCUAGAUGCAGAGGGAACAGCUCCUUGGUGAAUGAGUGAUAAGUAAAGGCAGAAAAGAUAAUGUCAUGUCUCCAUGGGGAAUGAGCAGGAGCCUGAGAGUCUUACUGCUGAUGAAGUCUGCAUAUGCAAUAAUUAAGCAAAUGAGAGCAACCAGUAUAAAGUUAUGGAAAUCUACCUUUAAAAGUUAUGGAAAUCUACCUUUAAAAGUUAAUGGCUUACCAAGCUUUAUCCACAAAAGUAAAGAAUUGAUGAAAACCAGUGAAGAUCAAACGUUCAUCUCAACUGCUUUUACAAAAGCAGAAUAAAAUGAAGUAAAAAUUCUACAUUAAUCCUGGAGUAAAAAGAAGCUGAGCUUACUGAGAGGAGUGGGAUCGAGUGGCUUGAGAGGCGGUGCAGUAUGCCAAUCUUUCGUUUGCCUCAGACAGGUUUCUCUUCAUAAGCAGAAGAGUUGCUUCAUUUCAUCUCGGAGCAGGAAACAGCAGACUGCUGUUAACAGAUAAGUUUAACUUGAAUCUGCAGUAUUGCAUGGUAGGGAUAAAUAUAGCUGUCUUAAGUUAAGAGGAGGUAUUGAAUGUUACUCACCUGACCCCUUCCUAGGGGGCUCAGGAUUGUGAGCAGUUUUCCCAUCCAGCCUCUUAAGAAUUCUAAGCCUUGUGCCAGUGGGCUUUCAUGAUGGGAUAGUAAGUAAGUAAACAGGCUUUUGCAUCCUAAAUUUCACCGCAAAAGCCUCAAAACAUGAUUAGUGCCUGCUUUAAUUACAUUUUUUACAAAAUUAAGGAAUCUUUACCAAUUGAACCUGAAGACCCCAUGAAAGGGACAUUUAAUGUGCUGAAAGUCAGAUGUUCAUAUUGCUAAAAUUUAAAUGUGCUCGAUGUACUUGUGCUUAAAAUCAUUAAAUCAUACAAAUUAAUAAAAUACUUCACUAGAGAAUGUAUGUAUUUAGAAGGCUGUCUCCUUAUUUAAAUAAAGUUUUGUUUGUUGUCUGUAGUUAGUGUUGGGCAAUUUUGGGGGGAAUGUUCUUCUCUAAUCUUUGCAGAAACUUUGGCUUCGAACACUUAAAUGGACAAGAUCAGGACUUGAGCAGAAGACCGAAUUUAACAUUCAGGCAGGAAAGACAAAUUUUAUUCUCCAUGCAGUGAUGAGCAUUUAAUAAUUGCAGGCCUGGCAUAGAGGCCCUUUAAGGACUAAGUACCUUAGGCAGGUUGGAAAUGAUGGUCAGAUAAAAGGUAACUACAUAUUUUGUUUCCAGAAAGUCAGGGGUCUUAUUUGACCAUGGCUAAACAUCUAGGGUAAGAUACUUUCCCAAUUAUCAAAUGUGCAUGUUGAGUUUAAAUGCUUAGACCAUCUCAUCCACGUUAGACUUUUGUCACCUCACUUGAGCCACGAGUUGGGGCAUGUGGGUUUUUAAAGAGUUUUCCUUUGCAGAGGCCUCAUUUCAUCCUUCAUGGAGCUGCUCAGGACUUUGAUUGCAUAUAAGCGCUUGCCUCUUGUCUUCUGCUCUGCUAGUGAGUGUGUGAGACCUUGCAGUGAGUUUGUUUUUCCUGGAAUUGGAGGGAAGGGAGGAGGGGGAUGGGGCUUACUUGUUCUAGCUUUUUUUUACAGACCACACAGAAUGCAGGUGUCUUGACUUCAGGUCUUGUCUGUUCUUUGGCAAGUAAUAUGUGCAGUACUGUUCCAAUCUGCUGCUAUUAGAAUGCAUUGUGCCACGACUGGAGUAUGAUUAAAGUUGUGUUUCCCCAAAUGUUUGGAGUAGUGAUUGUUGGAGGAGAACCCAUGAGUAAUACAGGCUGAGUGUUGAGGAAAUGGCUCUGCAGCUUUAAGUAACACGUGUUUGUGAUUGAAGCCAAGUCCCUUUGCUGUGCUGCUUUAGGUAAAUGUUUUUGUUCAUUUCUGGUGAGGGGGGGUUGGGAGCACUGAAGCCUUUAGUCUCUUCCAGAUUCAACCUAAAAUCUGACAAGAAAUAAAUUCAGACAAGCAACAUUCUUGAAGAAAUUUAACUGGCAAGUGGAAAUGUUCUUAACAGUUCCGUGGUCUUUAGUGCAUUGUCUCUGUAGGUGUCUCUCUCCCCUCCCUUGGUCUUAAUUCUUACAUGCAGGAACAUUGAAAACAGCAGACAUCUAUUCGAGGGCCCAGAGAAGCCAGACCCAGUAAGGAAAAAUAGCCUAUUUACUUUAAAUCGAUAAAAGUGAACCAGACAUUCCAUUAUCAAUGUGGGGAUUGGGAAGCCCUAGUUCUUUCAGAUGUACUUCAAACUAGAAGGAGCUUCCAGUUGAAUUCACCAGUGGACAAAUGAUGACAACAGGUGAACAAGCCUUUUCUUGUUUAAGAUUAGUUACUGGUAAAUUAGUGUUGAAUUCUCUUCAGCUUCAUGCUGAAGCAGCUAGCAUGUAAUGUUUUGUUGGCCUUGGGGUGGAGGGGUGAGGUGGGCGCUAAGCCUUUUUUUAAGAUUUUCCAGGUACCCCUCACUAAAGGCACUGAAGGCUUAAUGUAGCACAGCGGAGCCUUCCUGUGGCAAGAGUCAAGCAAGCAAAGUGGUAUCAUGGUUGGUUUUGAUUAGCAGUGAGGACUACCCUACCUCAACACCUUGCUGGAGUUGAAAGAAACAUUCAAAGAAAAUACUUGAGAGGCCCUGGGCUUGUUUUAACAUCUGGAAAAGCUGUUUUUAUAGCAGCUGUUAGCAGCCCAAACCUCAAGUUGUGCUUGAAGGGGAGGGAAAAGGGGGAAAGUGGGCAACCAGUUUUCCCUAGCUUUUCCAGAGUCCUGUUACAAGGUCUCCCCACAAGUGAUUCUCUGCCACAUCGACACCCUGUGCCUUUGGCCUAAUCACAGACCCUUCACCCCUCACCUUGAUGCAGCCAGUAGCUGGAUCCUUGAGGUCAUGAUGCGUAAUCGGUUUCAAGGUAACCAUGGUGCCAAGGUCCCGUGGGUUGCACCAGACAGAGAAGGCCAUUUUUUCCCCUUGCCUGUUAAUUUAACAAGACCACAGCUCAGUAGCUAAGGUGUUUUAUAUGCAUAGCACCUAUUCAGACUAAACAAACCAGUCAAGGGUAUAGUAAUAGCAAUGUUUGAUACAAAUGCUGGGUGGGAAUGAGGUCAGCUGAAGGCAAGCCUUUGUAGGGAAGCUGUUGGGGUGGGAUUGCAAAAUUUCUCUGCUAAGACUUUUUCAGGUGGACAUAGCAGACUUGGCCAAGCUAGCAUCUUAGCGGAAGCAGAUUCUUCAUUAGGGUUGUAAAGGUUUUUCUUUUCCUGAGAAAACAAACUUUGUUUUCUCAGGUUUUGCUUUUUGGCCUUUCCCUAG
RNAcentral lists this long non-coding RNA (4093 nucleotides) under Androctonus crassicauda. The stretch from base 1034 to 1116 matches the Rfam family "Metastasis associated lung adenocarcinoma transcript 1". Lineage: Eukaryota; Metazoa; Arthropoda; Arachnida; Scorpiones; Buthidae. The record is from RNAcentral.